UACGAAGGGGGCUAGCGUUGCUCGGAUUUACUGGGCGUAAAGGGCGCGUAGGCGGACAGUUAAGUUGGGGGUGAAAGCCCGGGGCUCAACCUCGGAAUUGCCUUCAAUACUGGCUGUCUUGAGUGUGAGAGAGGUGUGUGGAACUCCGAGUGUAGAGGUGAAAUUCGUAGAUAUUCGGAAGAACACCAGUGGCGAAGGCGACACACUGGCUCGCUACUGACGCUGAGGCGCGAACGCGUGGGGAGCAAACAGG
This 253-nucleotide ribosomal RNA is filed under the name uncultured bacterium. RNAcentral describes it as "partial 16S ribosomal RNA". It matches the Rfam family "Bacterial small subunit ribosomal RNA", at positions 524 to 776 of the family's 1533-position model. The record is from RNAcentral.